RNAcentral lists this ribosomal RNA (253 nucleotides) under uncultured bacterium. RNAcentral describes it as "partial 16S ribosomal RNA". It matches the Rfam family "Bacterial small subunit ribosomal RNA", at positions 524 to 776 of the family's 1533-position model. The record is from RNAcentral.
UACGUAGGGUGCAGGCGUUAAUCGGAAUUACUGGGCGUAAAGCGUACGCAGGCGGUCUUUUAAGUCAGAUGUGAAAUCCCCGGGCUUAACCUGGGAACUGCGUUUGAAACUGGAAGGCUUGAGUGUGGCAGAGGGGGGUGGAAUUCCACGUGUAGCAGUGAAAUGCGUAGAUAUGUGGAGGAACACCGAUGGCGAAGGCAGCCCCCUGGGCUAACACUGACGCUCAUGCACGAAAGCGUGGGGAGCAAACAGG